This is a non-coding RNA of Labrus bergylta (ballan wrasse), 256 nucleotides long. The record is from RefSeq and is a predicted model, not a curated record. Lineage: Eukaryota; Metazoa; Chordata; Actinopteri; Labriformes; Labridae.
ACCGUGACAAAAAAUACAAAGCACUGAAGAAAAACACACAUGAAGGAACAUCACCAGUCAGUGCUGAUCAACCCGGCCCGUCAUCUGCACAGGUUUACCUGAUGCAGAGAAACAGCUGAGGCCUGUUUAACCACUGAGGGUCCCACAGGGAACAUUGAAAAGUCAAACGAGGCUUCUGGAUAUCAAUCAAUCAAUCAAGCUUUAUUCAUAUAGCACCUUUCAUACAAAGUCAAAGUGCUUUACAGCGACUGAAAAA